This 442-nucleotide ribosomal RNA is filed under the name uncultured bacterium. RNAcentral describes it as "partial 16S ribosomal RNA". It matches the Rfam family "Bacterial small subunit ribosomal RNA", at positions 338 to 795 of the family's 1533-position model. The record is from RNAcentral.
CCUACGGGAGGCAGCAGUGGGGAAUAUUGCGCAAUGGGCGCAAGCCUGACCCAGCAACGCCGCGUGAAGGAAGAAGGCUUUCGGGUUGUAAACUUCUUUUGUCAGGGAAGAGUAGAAGACGGUACCUGACGAAUACGCCACGGCUAACUACGUGCCAGCAGCCGCGGUAAUACGGAGGGGGCAAGCGUUGUCCGGAUUUACUGGGUGUAAAGGGCGUGUAGCCGGGUUGACAAGUCAGAUGUGAAAUCCUGCGGCUUAACCGCAGAACUGCAUUUGAAACUGUUGAUCUUGAGUACUGGAGAGGCAGACGGAAUUCCUGGUGUAGCGGUGAAAUGCGUAGAGAUUAGGAGGAACACUAGUGGCGAAGGCGGUCUGCUGGACAGCAACUGACGGUGAGGCGCGAAAGCGUGGGGAGCAAACAGGAUUAGAUACCCUUGUAGUC